Molecule: ribosomal RNA, 253 nt
Filed under: uncultured bacterium
Lineage: Bacteria
Description: partial 16S ribosomal RNA
Rfam family: Bacterial small subunit ribosomal RNA
Source: RNAcentral
UACAGAGGUCUCAAGCGUUGUUCGGAUUCAUUGGGCGUAAAGGGUGCGUAGGCGGCGCGGUAAGUCGGGUGUGAAAUCUCGGAGCUUAACUCCGAAACUGUAUUCGAUACUGCCGUGCUUGAGGACUGGAGAGGAGACUGGAAUUUACGGUGUAGCGGUGAAAUGCGUAGAUAUCGUAAGGAAGACCAGUGGCGAAGGCGGGUCUCUGGACAGUUCCUGACGCUGAGGCACGAAGGUCAGGGGAGCAAACGGG